Molecule: ribosomal RNA, 494 nt
Filed under: uncultured soil bacterium
Lineage: Bacteria
Description: bacterial SSU rRNA
Rfam family: Bacterial small subunit ribosomal RNA
Source: RNAcentral
AGGACGAACGCUGGCGGCGUGCUUAACACAUGCAAGUCGAGCGGAAAGGCCUUUCGGGGUACUCGAGCGGCGAACGGGUGAGUAACACGUGAGUAAUCUGCCCAUCGCUUCAGGAUAGCCAUCGGAAACGGUGAUUAAUACUGGAUAUGACAUUCCUUCGCAUGUUGGGGUGUGGAAAGUUUUUUCGGCGGUGGAUGUGCUCGCGGCCUAUCAGCUUGUUGGUGGGGUAAUGGCCUACCAAGGCUUUGACGGGUAGCCGGCCUGAGAGGGUGACCGGCCACACUGGGACUGAGACACGGCCCAGACUCCUACGGGAGGCAGCAGUGGGGAAUAUUGGACAAUGGGCGGAAGCCUGAUCCAGCAACGCCGCGUGAGGAUGACGGCCUUCGGGUUGUAAACCGUCUUUCAGCACAGACGAAGUUUUGCUUUUUUGGUGUAAGUGACGGUAUGUGCAGAAGAAGGACCGGCCAACUACGUGCCAGCAGCCGCGGUAA